UUAGACUGGUGCCCAGAACGUGCUUUAAAGUGAUAGUCACCGCUUUGAAUGUGUUUGAAAUUGUUUCUCUCCAUCUGUUUUCUUAUGUGUGUAUGUAGCAGAAGUUGGACGAGGCUUGUGAGGUGCUCCAGUCUGUGACUGAGGGGAGAGGUCACUGAGGGACAGGUUUGAAGGUCUGAAGGAGAAACACAGGCAGAAACAGGAGCAUGAAGAGGCAGUGGAGGUGCACGUGUGUGAGCUGCAGAAAGAGCUGCGGGUGAAUGAGAGCAGUGUGGGGUCUCUGGAGAGGAUAUCAGCCCAGAAGGAGCUACAGCUGUUGGCUUUCCAGGACGAGAGGAGUGCCUUGAAGUCAGAUGGGCUGCACGGGGAGUUCCAGAACCUAAGGGAGCAGCACAGCAUCUUCCUGAGAGAGACCCAGGAGCAGGCACUCACACAGAUGGUUGAUGGGCUGGGUAGCCUCUAGAACACAGUGUCUAUGGAUGAGACUGUUUAACUGUGCGUAUAAAUGCAUGCUCAUAGGCAAGCUGAGGAAAAGAAAACAGUUGCUUUCAGAAAACAAGCCAUCUCUCACACACAGCACAUUGAGUCCACACAGAGCUGCAUCCAGGUCAGUAUCUCAGGAUGUCCUGUCCUUUAACCCAACCUCUGAAACAGAGAGUCCCGGGUCAGUCUUACAGUUUCCUUUGCAGAUAACGGAGGAGGGGGGAAGGAAGGAAGCUGAAGGAGAAUCUUAAUGAGUAGAAGG
Molecule: long non-coding RNA, 745 nt
Organism: Oncorhynchus tshawytscha (Chinook salmon)
Lineage: Eukaryota; Metazoa; Chordata; Actinopteri; Salmoniformes; Salmonidae
Source: Ensembl